GAUGAACGCUAGCGGGAGGCCUAACACACGCAAGCCGAGCGGUAGAGAUUCUUCGGAAUCUUGAGAGCGGCGUACGGGUGCGGAACACGUGUGCAACCUACCCUUUAUCUGGAGGAUAGCCUUUCGAAGGAAGAUUAAUACUCCAUAAUAUAUUGAUUGGCAUCGAUUGAUAUUGAAAGCUCCGGCGGAUAGAGAUGGGCACGCGCAAGAUUAGCUAGUUGGUGAGGUAACGGCUCACCAAGGCGAUGAUCUUUAGGGGCCUGAGAGGGUGAUCCCCACACUGGUACUGAGACACGGACCAGACUCCUACGGGAGGCAGCAGUGAGGAAUAUUGGUCAAUGGGUAGCAAGCCUGAACCAGCCAU
Molecule: ribosomal RNA, 364 nt
Filed under: uncultured bacterium
Lineage: Bacteria
Description: bacterial SSU rRNA
Rfam family: Bacterial small subunit ribosomal RNA
Source: RNAcentral